CGCGUGGGAACGUACCCUUUACUACGGAACAACUCCGGGAAACUGGAGCUAAUACCGUAUGUGCCCUUUGGGGGAACCCGCGUUGGAUUAGCUAGUUGGUGGGGUAAAGGCCUACCAAGGCGACGAUCCAUAGCUGGUCUGAGAGGAUGAUCAGCCACAUUGGGACUGAGACACGGCCCAAACUCCUACGGGAGGCAGCAGUGGGGAAUAUUGGACAAUGGGCGCAAGCCUGAUCCAGCCAUGCCGCGUGAAUGAUGAAGGCCUUAGGGUUGUAAAGUUCUUUCACCGGAGAAGAUAAUGACGGUAUCCGGAGAAGAAGCCCCGGCUAACUUCGUGCCAGCAGCCGCGGUAAUACGUAGGGUGCAAGCGUUAAUCGGAAUUACUGGGCGUAAAGCGUGCGCAGGCGGUUUUGUAAGACAGAGGUGAAAUCCCCGGGCUCAACCUGGGAACUGCCUUUGUGACUGCAAGGCUGGAGUGCGGCAGAGGGGGAUGGAAUUCCGCGUGUAGCAGUGAAAUGCGUAGAUAUGCGGAGGAACACCGAUGGCGAAAGCAAUCCCCUGGGCCUGCACUGACGCUCAUGCACGAAAGCGUGGGGAGCAAACAGGAUUAGAUACCCUGGUAGUCC
RNAcentral lists this ribosomal RNA (625 nucleotides) under uncultured bacterium. Its description in RNAcentral is "bacterial SSU rRNA". It matches the Rfam family "Bacterial small subunit ribosomal RNA", at positions 114 to 796 of the family's 1533-position model. The record is from RNAcentral.